GGCUUCAUGGUUCAGUGGUAAGGACACUUGUCUCUCAACCUGGAGUUCCGGGUUCGAUCCCCUGAAGGUACCA
This is a non-coding RNA of Rhamnusium bicolor, 73 nucleotides long. The record is from the annotation of a GenBank genome assembly. Lineage: Eukaryota; Metazoa; Arthropoda; Insecta; Coleoptera; Cerambycidae.